UCUGGGAGAUGUAGGGCC
RNAcentral lists this non-coding RNA (18 nucleotides) under Arabidopsis thaliana (thale cress). Lineage: Eukaryota; Viridiplantae; Streptophyta; Magnoliopsida; Brassicales; Brassicaceae. The record is from RNAcentral.